AGUCGAACGGAGAAUUGCUAGCUUGCUAAUAAUUCUCCAGUGGCGCACGGGUGAGUAACACGUGAGUACCUGCCCCCAAGAGUGGGAUAGCCCCGGGAAACUGGGAUUAAUACCGCAUAAAGCAAUAAAGCAGCAAUGCGCUUGGGGAUGGGCUCGCGUCCUAUUAGUUAGUUGGUGAGGUAACGGCUCACCAAGGCGAUGACGGGUAGCCGGUCUGAGAGGAUGUCCGGCCACACUGGAACUGAGACACGGUCCAGACACCUACGGGUGGCAGCAGUCGAGAAUCAUUCACAAUGGGGGAAACCCUGAUGGUGCGACGCCGCGUGGGGGAUAAGGUCUUCGGAUUGUAAACCCCUGUCAUGUGGGACAUUAAAAGAUAGUACCACAAGAGGAAGAGACGGCUAACUCUGUGCCAGCAGCCGCGGUAAUACAGAGGUCUCAAGCGUUGUUCGGAAUCACUGGGCGUAAAGCGUGCGUAGGCGGUUUCGUAAGUCGUGUGUGAAAGGCGGGGGCUCAACCCCCGGACUGCACAUGAUACUGCGAGACUAGAGUAAUGGAGGGGGAACCGGAAUUCUCGGUGUAGCAGUGAAAUGCGUAGAUAUCGAGAGGAACACUCGUGGCGAAGGCGGGUUCCUGGACAUUAACUGACGCUGAGGCACGAAGGCCAGGGGAGCGAAAGGGAUUAGAUACCCCUGUAGUCCUGG
Molecule: ribosomal RNA, 704 nt
Filed under: uncultured bacterium
Lineage: Bacteria
Description: bacterial SSU rRNA
Rfam family: Bacterial small subunit ribosomal RNA
Source: RNAcentral